UGAGGAAUAUUGGUCAAUGGGCGCAAGCCUGAUCCAGCCAUGCCGCGUGCAGGAAGACGGCCCUAUGGGUUGUAAACUGCUUUUACACCGGAGAAAACCUCCCCUCGUGAGGGGAGCUGAUAGUAUGGUGAGAAUAAGCAUCGGCUAACUUCGUGCCAGCAGCCGCGGUAAGACGAAGGAUGCAAGCGUUAUCCGGAUUCAUUGGGUUUAAAGGGAGCGUAGGUGGCCUUAUAAGUCAGUGGUGAAAUCUCUGGGCUUAACCCAGAAAUUGCCAUUGAUACUGUAGGGCUUGAGUACAGUUGCUGUGGGCGGAAUAUGACAUGUAGUGGUGAAAUACAUAGAGAUGACAUAGAACACCGAUUGCGAAGGCAGCUCACUACGGAUGUAUUGACACUGAGGCACGAAAGCGUGGGGAUCAAACA
Molecule: ribosomal RNA, 422 nt
Filed under: uncultured bacterium
Lineage: Bacteria
Description: bacterial SSU rRNA
Rfam family: Bacterial small subunit ribosomal RNA
Source: RNAcentral